GUGCUGCAAGAAUUUUCAGGCGAUCAUCACUUUUGUCCUGACACAAUUCUCAUCUUUGAAUAGGUGUCUUCACAAUGGGGGUUUGUAAUCCGUGUAAAUUAAUCAAAGCGUGAUUAAGUGUACAGGGUAUCUUGAUACCCUUGAAAACGGCAUCUGAAGAAUGCUGAAUUUUUUGCUGAAUUUCUUAAUGCUACUGCUUGGUUCAUGAAUGGUCCAGCUGUGUUCUCAAAGAUCAAAAUUUCUGUAUGAUUUUUGUGGUCCCCUCUCCCUUGGAAUUGGAAGCAAUCAAAUUUCCAAGAAGAGUAGCUGUUCCCCUAAUGCUGAAGUUGCCCUACUUAUAUGAACAAAUACUUAUAUGAACAAAGGGAUAGGAAUGACAUAUAAGCAAAUAAUGCUCUUGGAGUCGUGCUUGGUGCGAACAAUAUAGACAUGGAUAAUGAUGUACAAAAUUGACCUUAAAACUAUUUUAUUGUGAAAUAUCUUUAUAGGUUAUAUGUAAAUAGUGAAGAAUAUGCUUUGAAACAUUUGAUGCGUCUAUUUAAAGAAUAUAAAACUCUACUAUGAGAUUUUUUUACUUUUUGACAAA
Non-coding RNA from Camellia sinensis, 586 nucleotides. The record is from RefSeq and is a predicted model, not a curated record. NCBI's taxonomy places the organism in Eukaryota, Viridiplantae, Streptophyta, Magnoliopsida, Ericales, Theaceae.